This is a long non-coding RNA of Fundulus heteroclitus (mummichog), 566 nucleotides long. RefSeq lists it as uncharacterized. The record is from RefSeq and is a predicted model, not a curated record. The transcript is spliced from 2 exons. NCBI's taxonomy places the organism in Eukaryota, Metazoa, Chordata, Actinopteri, Cyprinodontiformes, Fundulidae.
CUGAGCGAAAAUGCUGUGGUCAUGCUCAUGGAUCCUCAACUUCCCAGAGCCCUUUGGCCAGUUGGACGAGUGACUAAAGUUCACCCCAGCGCUGACGGCCACAUCAGGUCAGCAGAUGUUCGAGUUAAAGAUCGAGUUUAUACUCGACCGGUAGCGAGGAUGAUUGUUCUUCCGGCAACACCCGAAGAGGCCGGCGGCCAUGAUUCAUCAUCAAAGACUUAGUUCAUCGCCUUUGUUUGAAACAAAUGUACUUCAUACAUUUGGGGGCGGCUGUUACAAAGGCUCUAGUGUUUAUUACUUUAGUUUGGGAAGGGGAGGUGCGCCACCCGGUGGCGAGUUCGAAUAGUACAUGCAGCAGCUGCAGAAGCACUGUAGCUCUGAGGGAGGAGACGUGCAGCUGCUGCUGACGGCUCCGGUUGGGGUCUAUGUGCGUUCCUGACUGAAUACCACACACACAUACCCAAUCGUACCAAUACCCUACCUACCUCUCCAUCUCCAAGCCUACCUCAUACUGCAUGUUUGUAUUGCUGCUGAACUGCAAUUAAAGAGAGACUCAAACCAGAAAA